Molecule: transfer RNA, 71 nt
Filed under: Clostridiales bacterium
Lineage: Bacteria; Bacillati; Bacillota; Clostridia; Eubacteriales
Description: tRNA-Gly
Rfam family: tRNA
About the family: Transfer RNA (tRNA) molecules are approximately 80 nucleotides in length.
Source: RNAcentral
GCGGAUAUAGUUCAUUGGUAGAAUGCAAGCUUCCCAAGCUUGAGAGGCGGGUUCGAUUCCCGUUAUCCGCU